Molecule: ribosomal RNA, 433 nt
Filed under: uncultured bacterium
Lineage: Bacteria
Description: partial 16S ribosomal RNA
Rfam family: Bacterial small subunit ribosomal RNA
Source: RNAcentral
AACGAACGCUGGCGGCAUGCCUAACACAUGCAAGUCGAACGAGACCUUCGGGUCUAGUGGCGCACGGGUGCGUAACGCGUGGGAACCUGCCCUUAGGUUCGGAAUAACUCCCCGAAAGGGGUGCUAAUACCGGAUAAUGUCUUCGGACCAAAGAUUUAUUGCCUUUGGGUGGGCCUUGGUUGGUUUGGGGGGUUGGUAGGGUAAAAGCCAACCAUGGGAGCGUUCAUUGGCUGGUCUGUGAGGAGGAUCAUCCAAACUGGCGAUGCGGCACGGCCCAGUCUCCUACGGAGGGCAGCGGUAGGGAAUAUUGUAGGAUGAGCGAAAACCUGAUACAGCAGUGCCGCGUGAGUGAUGAAGGCCUUAGGGUUGUAAAGCUCUUUUACCCGGGAUGAUAAUGACAGUACCGGGAGAAUAAGCUCCGGCUAACUCCGUG